GAUCCUGGCUCAGGAUGAACGCUGGCGGCGUGCCUAACACAUGCAAGUCGACGGAAAUCAGGCGCUUCGGAGACUUCGGUCAAUGUUGCCUGGUUUAGUGGCGGACGGGUGAGUAACGCGUGGAUAACCUGCCUCAUACAGGGGGAUAACAGUUAGAAAUGACUGCUAAUACCGCAUAAGCGCACGGGACCGCAUGAUCCUGUGUGAAAAACUCCGGUGGUAUGAGAUGGAUCCGCGUCUGAUUAGCUAGUUGGCGGGGUAACAGCCCACCAAGGCGACGAUCAGUAGCCGGCCUGGGAGGGUGAACGGCCACAUUGGGACUGAGACACGGCCCAAACUCCUACGGGAGGCAGCAGUGGGGGAUAUUGCACAAUGGGGGAAACCCUGAUGCAGCCGACGCCGCGUGAGUGAAGAAGUAUUUCGGUAUGUAAAGCUCUAUCAGCAGGGAAGAUAAUGACGGUACCUGACUAAGAAGCACCGGCUAAAUACGUGCCAGCCGCUGC
This 503-nucleotide ribosomal RNA is filed under the name uncultured bacterium. RNAcentral's name for it is "bacterial SSU rRNA". It matches the Rfam family "Bacterial small subunit ribosomal RNA", at positions 15 to 518 of the family's 1533-position model. The record is from RNAcentral.